Molecule: transfer RNA, 74 nt
Filed under: Candidatus Liptonbacteria bacterium
Lineage: Bacteria; Candidatus Liptoniibacteriota
Description: tRNA-Gln
Rfam family: tRNA
About the family: Transfer RNA (tRNA) molecules are approximately 80 nucleotides in length.
Source: RNAcentral
UGCGGGAUCGUCUAAUGGUAGGACACCAGCCUUUGGAGCUGGGUAUCUUGGUUCGAAUCCAAGUCCCGCAGCCA